CCCCUUUUGGAUUUGCGAGUAUUUGUUUUGCAACUAUUUUGUCUAUGAUUUCUCUCCGUGAAAGGUCUUGUCACAGACUGAGCAAGAUCUCUUUAAGGAAGAUAUAUGUUUUUCAUGAUUGUGGAAAAUGAACGAAAAGAAAAUCAAAACUCUAAAAAUCUAUAAGUCUUUGUCAUACCUGAAAGUUGUUUAUAAAAGGGCUACCAGUGCAAAUGGUUGUACUGCAUAUUGCUUUACAACAGCAGCUAUUGUAGCAGUCGGACUAGGUGCAAUGCAGAAGGAAUGAACUUGAGAUGAUGGCACAUGAUGGCAGUAAAUUACUGAAGAGCCCACUUGCCUCCUCUAUCAUCAAAGAGCACAAUAACUGGCUACUGCAAGAAUUUAGUCUAACCCGAAUGACAGCCACAGACAAACUGCAUUAAAUGUAGGCACACAUAAUAACGAUGCUUAAGGAAUAAAACCUGUAUCUCUGUGCA
RNAcentral lists this long non-coding RNA (476 nucleotides) under Zonotrichia albicollis (white-throated sparrow). Its description in RNAcentral is "lncRNA (ENSZALG00000008641.1)". The record is from RNAcentral. Lineage: Eukaryota; Metazoa; Chordata; Aves; Passeriformes; Passerellidae.